GUUUUCCUUUUAACACAGUUCUAUGUCACUAUCUCAGUAAAACCUUUUCCAGCAGUAUCUGAUGACUGCUUGGCUGCAGACACCUCAGAUUUACUUCCUGUUGAUGGUUCUGCUUCACUUUCUGAUGAGCACACGCACGCGAAGCCACUACACCAUAUGCCACAUAAACCCCUGUCAUGGUUCUAGCAGGUUUCACUGUCUGGCUGCCUUGUGUGUCUGCACAGGAGCGGAAGCCAUGAGCAGCUCAGACCUCCAGCGUGCAGCGUGUGGAGCUGCUGCUCGUCCAGAGUGUGUUUACUCUGACAGGUUCCCUUUGCCAACUUCUCAUGACGGCCUAUUGGGUGUCCAGCCUCUGGUCAGCACACAGGGACACGCUGCAAACACUCCAGCCAAACCUGCCAUGCACACAUCUGGAUGCUGCUGCAUGGAAUUCUGUCUUCUCAGGGAGGCGAGGAACAGAGGCCAGGACCAUAUGCUGCGAUAUUUCCUUCUCUAAAGUAAGAUGUGCAUCUGUUUGAUAACUGUCAUGUUCAAGCCUACACACUUGUUGAUACUGAAUAGAUGCUCAAAUUAGGUGAUAUAAACGUGUACAGUGUCAUCAUGUGUUUGCACGUACAGGAUGAACAGCAUCUGUUCAGCACAUCUCCAACAUGAUCGUCCCCCUCAUCUGUUAGUUUUUAUUGUGAGCUCGCCGCUGCCUGUUGAUAUGGAUGAUGUGGCAGCGCUAAGUGUGUGCAUCCGUGCAUGGCGCUUCUGUAAAUACGCUGGGACAACAGACAUGUGGGUGAGACAAAGAGGGGACGGGAUUGUGUGAGCGAUGGUGUUUUGUGUAGGUGACGGUCCCGUGGGAAUUCCCCACGGGCGAGGUCUUUAUUUCGUGCUGCACAAACACAGCCCGCGCUCCACAGGGGAAAGCACCAGCCAGUCAGUCAAAAGCAAAGCCUUCCCUCCCCCAUCACCAUCACAGCCCUGAUGCUCACCCACAUGCGGACACGGCCAUGGGAAUGCAUGAGAGCUACAGCAGACGAUAAGAGAAGGCCUCCACAUACACAAACACAGGGGAUGGCCUCUCUCCUCCACACGCUGAGCUGUCCUCAGUGCCCUCGCUCCCUUCUGUUUAUUCAUGCCGACCCCAGUGCUGAUACCAUCUCCUUCUAUCUCAAUUACAUCAGCCAACUCCCCGUCUUCCUCAGCAAGGGCUGCUUUUCUUCCUCCCUCGGACCCCGCGUCAGUCGUCUCCUCGGGCCGGCGUAGAAACGCGCUCCAUAUUCAGCCAGUCAUAAAUAUAAGAUAAAGAUAAACAUCCACGCCGUGAUUGGCACCUGUGUCUGUGGGUUCAAGGCGCGGGUCUGGCGGUUUUGGAAGACGGAACAACAAAGCAACGUGAAGUUUCAGACAAAUACGACACGGGUAUGAAAACAAACAGCGCGGGAAAUGAUUGGGCGCUUGCGUCCCGUUGCAUCACCAACCCUGGCAGCUCCACAUAACAAGCAGCCAUGGUCACACGUUACAAACUAUACCAUGUGCAAAGCGCCGCGUGAUGUAAUUUGACAAACACCAGGCAAGACGCAACAAUGCCCGUGAAAUACGAUUUAUCACUUGCGCUCUUGGAUGCGUGCUCGUGUAAUUACACGUUUCCCCUUCUCAUAGUUUAAUAAUAAUUUCUAAAGCCUGGAAAAUUCCUAAAUACUCCGCACCUGCUGAGGCAACCCGUUCGGCGCGUCGCGGAGUGAAGGAGUGGGCUCUCAGCGUGUCGUAAAUCACUUUUACGGCGCCGCUGUGAGGCCUCGGGAGCAGCUGAGGACUCGUCUUGCUCACCGCUGUCCCGCUGCAUCAUCCCCGCGCCGCCGUCGUAGCCGCUCUGCGCAGUGGUUCAUCACGGUGGACAAACGGGCCGGUGCUCGCGUCCCCGGCCGCCUUCCAUCACGUGCUGCGCUCCGCGCUCUCCGGUCAAGUGCUCCCAUUGUGCCUCCCACACAGCCUUAAGCUUAAUGAACUGCCUUUUGAAAUAAGCCUCUGCAGGAUCUCUUUAAAAUAUGUAACAGUCAAAUUACUUGUAAUAAUGAUUAACGCUGACGUGGGCUGUGUUGUCACAUGUAAUUUAUUAUUCCUCUGUGUUAAAUAAUUAGCCUAUUGCUUGCUGAAAUAGGUACUUUGGUAAAUUGGACCUGAUUGCACAUAAUAAAUAAUUGCAGUUAUUGUUUACA
This 2207-nucleotide long non-coding RNA is filed under the name Betta splendens (Siamese fighting fish). RNAcentral describes it as "lncRNA (ENSBSLG00000023927.1)". The record is from RNAcentral. Lineage: Eukaryota; Metazoa; Chordata; Actinopteri; Anabantiformes; Osphronemidae.